UACGGGGGGGGCAAGCGUUGUUCGGAAUUACUGGGCGUAAAGCGUGCGCAGGCGGCGCGUUAAGACAGGUGUGAAAGCCCCGAGCUUAACUUGGGAAUUGCGCUUGUGACUGGCGUGCUGGAGUGUGGCAGAGGGAGGUGGAAUUCCACGUGUAGCAGUGAAAUGCGUAGAGAUGUGGAGGAACACCGAUGGCGAAGGCAGCCUCCUGGGCCAGCACUGACGCUCAUGCACGAAAGCGUGGGGAGCAAACAGG
RNAcentral lists this ribosomal RNA (253 nucleotides) under uncultured bacterium. Its description in RNAcentral is "partial 16S ribosomal RNA". It matches the Rfam family "Bacterial small subunit ribosomal RNA", at positions 524 to 776 of the family's 1533-position model. The record is from RNAcentral.